GAUUUUCUUUUUCAACAAAGGGGACGACUUGCAUGUGAGCUGCUACUACAUUGAUUCAAAUCUAAAUGAGUAUGCGAUAUCCUCUGCUCAGUUGUACUCCAACACUCCUGUAGAUUUUGAUUUCAAACUUAAAAGCCUUGCCCAAGGAUUCGAGACAUUGUCGAACUUUGCAGAACACCUUGCUGGCUCUGUGGACAUAGUUUUCUCUAUCAUACAUGGUAGAUUUGGUGAAGAUGGUUGAAUUCAGGUG
Molecule: long non-coding RNA, 250 nt
Organism: Rhododendron vialii
Lineage: Eukaryota; Viridiplantae; Streptophyta; Magnoliopsida; Ericales; Ericaceae
Exons: 3
Source: RefSeq, a predicted model, not a curated record